This 76-nucleotide transfer RNA is filed under the name Escherichia coli. RNAcentral describes it as "tRNA-Val". It matches the Rfam family "tRNA". Rfam says of the family: Transfer RNA (tRNA) molecules are approximately 80 nucleotides in length. The record is from RNAcentral. Lineage: Bacteria; Pseudomonadati; Pseudomonadota; Gammaproteobacteria; Enterobacterales; Enterobacteriaceae. RNAcentral also lists the same sequence under 1 other name.
GGGGUGAUUAGCUCAGCUGGGAGAGCACCUCCCUUACAAGGAGGGGGUCGGCGGUUCGAUCCCGUCAUCACCCACC